Molecule: long non-coding RNA, 959 nt
Filed under: Capra hircus (goat)
Lineage: Eukaryota; Metazoa; Chordata; Mammalia; Artiodactyla; Bovidae
Description: lncRNA (ENSCHIG00000006875.1)
Source: RNAcentral
GGACGCGUGACAGUGAACACGCGCAGCCGUGAAGACGUUCUCGUUAGCUCGUUGGGCCCGCGCUUGUCUUCCCCCUGAGCCCCUCUGACCUGGCCGGUCCCUCCCUCUGCCUGGGCUGAGACAGAGCUCCCGGCGCUUCCAUGAGGACACUGGAGGAAGCACGGAGCCCCCUCUGCCUGGACGUCCAGGCAGCCCUGGGUUCAGAUUUCAGAAGAGUGGAUGUGCCUUCUGUAUCGUUUCAAGUUUUGGAGAAACUUCACCUUCAGUGUCUUUGGUGGUCUCCUGCCUCCCUCUGAAACUCAAGUUCAUACCUGGCUUGCCUGCCAACCUCAAGCAAGGACGAGUCACUCGUGGAACAGAGCCGUCCAGCCAAGCUGCUCCAACCCACCAGCCUGGAUCAACUAGCCCCCAGGCAACCCACGGACACGAUGAAAUGAAACCACUCCACGGGUCUUCAUGCUAGGAAAUAAUGGAAAAUCAUUUAUUUAAAUUAAAGCAAUUUAUUAGUCUUUUAUUUGCUAACAAGUUACCUUCAAUUAUUGAGAAUAUAAAACUAUUAAAAAGUGGUAUUCCCUUGGUUUGUUUUAAAUUAAUUAUUAUCAACUCAGCUCAGUGGAGUUUAUUAAGAAAUUAAAUCUUUAUGAAUAUAAAACACACUUAUAAGGAUAAAAAAUGAAAAAGCUACUUUAUCUGCCAAGUAGCUGAGAAUUUUAUAUUUAAAUUCAUUCAAAGUAGUUCUGAAGCAGUUUAAAUUCUGCAGAAUGUGAACACUCACUGACUCCUUCUUUAAGAGUUAGAAUGACUCACUUCUAUAUAUAAAAUAGGUAACUGAUUAGAAGCUCUGUGCAGCACAGGCAACUCCACUUAAUGCUCUCUGGUGACCUAAGCAGGGAAGGAAAUUUAGAAAGCAGUGGAUGUGUGUAUAUGUAUAACUGAUGUACUUUGCUGUUUAAAGAAAC